This 841-nucleotide long non-coding RNA is filed under the name Elaeis guineensis (African oil palm). RNAcentral describes it as "long non-coding RNA (EGUI_LNC068499)". Lineage: Eukaryota; Viridiplantae; Streptophyta; Magnoliopsida; Arecales; Arecaceae. The record is from RNAcentral.
CCUACACAGUAGGUCGGGUUCUGCGUGCCCAAGCCGCACACUGUCAUGCCUGGGCUGCGCACCACCAUGCGUGGUCGUGUCGCCGCAGCUCCGUCAGCCCACCCUCCACUACUUCAAAAUUCAUGCUAGCUUCGAUCGAGCAUAUCUCAACCAUUCAGACUCCCUUUGAGGUGAUCUUGGGCUCGUUGGACUCUAUUUUUCGUUACGGGCCUCACUAUGGACUCAAUAUGGAUCGAAUCUUAAGGUAUCAAAUCCUAACAAUCUUCACCUCAAUACGAUAUUCAGCUUCCUCCUAACUUUGAGAGCUUCUGGAUCUCCUCGCCCCCAUACCCUGGGGCAAUCGUCUACUGAUCAUGGAUAGGCAAACAUAGGAGUUGAGUCAGGCCGCUCUAUCCCAUCUCCAUCAUAUGCUGUGCUUCUCCUGAUCCGAGACCUACUCGGGGCAUCAUCCUGCGGCAAUAAAAAUCUCACCUUGCGAUAUUGCCUUUUAUCCUUCUGAGUCUCGCAUCUCGUGCCCGAUCCACCUUCACCUGGUGCUCCACCUCACUCUGGACUCCUCUUGACUCCGAAAGCUCCACCUCGCACUGGACUCCCCAUCAUGUAAUAAUUUUCUCUCCUCGUCUUCUUUCCCUCCAAAAUAAUCCUAUCGUCGCAUAGCACCUUCAAGAUUCCUCCGCCAGCUACCAUUUUGUAGCCUCUCGAAUCCAGUCUGCUCAGUGAGAUAAGAUUUCAUCUGAAAUUACAUAUAUAUCAGACCUCUCCCAAUCUCUUCACUGCACCAUCAUGUAUCCUCCAGCUGAUCAUCCUGAUGCCUCUGAUCGCACAGCUUGAUCCAUCCAGC